UACGAAGGGGGCUAGCGUUGCUCGGAAUUACUGGCGUAAAGCGCACGUAGGCGGCUUUCUCAGUCGGAGUUGAAAUCCUGGAGCUCAACUCCAGAACUGCCUUCGAUACUGGAGAGCUCGAGUCCGGGAGAGGUGAGUGGAACUGCGAGUGUAGAGGUGAAAUUCGUAGAUAUUCGCAAGAACACCAGUGGCGAAGGCGGCUCACUGGCCCGGUACUGACGCUGAGGUGCGAAAGCGUGGGGAGCAAACAGG
Molecule: ribosomal RNA, 252 nt
Filed under: uncultured bacterium
Lineage: Bacteria
Description: partial 16S ribosomal RNA
Rfam family: Bacterial small subunit ribosomal RNA
Source: RNAcentral